UCUGUGGGUGCCCCCCCCAAAAAUAAAUUCAAAGAGAUUUGGGGGGGGUGAGAGUGGGGGAGGGGGAGUGAAGGUGAGGCCCCCCAAAUUGGGGGGGGGGGCGUUAAACAGGGAAAAGAGAGGUGACCCCCCCCAAAAAAUGAGGUAUGGGGGGGGUCGGUUUGUAGGUGAAGGGGGUGAACCCCCCCCAAAAAAAAUUGAAUGGGGGGGCAAUAAUCAGGUAAAGGGGGUGAGACCCCCCCCCAAAAAUCAAGGUAGGGGGGCAAAGUACAGGUAAAGGGGGUAAGACCCCCCCAAAAUCAAGGUUGGGGGGGGCAAUGUACAGGUAAAGGGGGUGAGACCCCCCCCAAAAAAAGGGGGGGGGUAAUGUACAGGUAAAGGUGGUGAGACCCCCCCCCCCAAAAAUGAGGUGGGGGGGGCAAUGUACAGGUAAAAGUGGUGACCCCCCCAAAAAAUGAGGGUGGGGGGGGUCAAACAGGUAAAGACCCCCCAAAAAUGAGGUGGGGGGUUAAUAAACAGGUAAAGACCCCCCAGAAAUAAGGGGGCGGGGUCAAUGAGCAGGUAAAGACCCUCCCAAAAAUGAGGUGGGGGGGGUCAAACAGGUAAAGACCCUCCCAAAAAUGGGGGGGGGUUCAAACAGGUAAAGACCCUCCCCAAUAAAAUCAGGUGUGGGGGUCAAACAGGUAAAGACCCCUCCCCAAAAAUGAGGUGGGGGGGGGUCAAACAGGUAAAGACCCCCCCCUAAAAAUGAGGGGGGGGUCAAACAGGUAAAGACCCCCCCUCAAUAAAAUGAGGUGUGGGGGGGGGUCAAACAGGUAAAGACCCCCCCCAAAAAUGAGGGGGGGGUCAAACAGGUAAAGACCCUCCCAAAAAUGAGGUGGGGGGGGGGUCAAACAGGUAAAGACCCCUCCCCAAUAAAAUCAGAUGGUGGGGUCAAACAGGUAAAGACCCCUCCCCAAUAAAAUGAGGUGGGGGGGGGUCAAACAGGUAAAGACCCCUCCCCAAUAAAAUGAGGUGUGGGGGGGGUCAAACAGGUAAAGACCCCUCCCCAAUAAAAUGAGGUGUGGGGGGGGUCAAACAGGUAAAGACCCCUCCCCAAUAAAAUGAGGUGGGGGGGUUAAUUUAUGGGUUGGGGGGGGGUCAAUCUGCAGGUGAAGGUGCUGACCCCCCCCCAAAAAAACCCCAAAUUUGGGGGGGGGGUCCAUAAACAGCUGAAGGGGUUUUCCCCCCUCCCCAAAAUUUUUUCGGUGGGGGGGGAGCUCAAUUUUUAUUUUGGGGGGGGGUCUCCUUAACCCACUUUCCUUCCCCACCGUGUCACUUUUUUUGGGGGGGGGUCUCACCCCCUUAACCCCCCCCCCACCCCACUGAGAUUUUAUGAGAUUUUUUGGGGCACUUUUGGGGUUUUUUUCCAGGGGGUGGGCGUUGAUUUUUUUUAAGGGGAGGGGGGGCGGGCUGACCUGGCCCC
Haemorhous mexicanus (house finch) is the source of this 1465-nucleotide long non-coding RNA. RefSeq lists it as uncharacterized. The transcript is spliced from 3 exons. NCBI's taxonomy places the organism in Eukaryota, Metazoa, Chordata, Aves, Passeriformes, Fringillidae. The record is from RefSeq and is a predicted model, not a curated record.